This 478-nucleotide ribosomal RNA is filed under the name uncultured bacterium. Its description in RNAcentral is "partial 16S ribosomal RNA". It matches the Rfam family "Bacterial small subunit ribosomal RNA", at positions 28 to 523 of the family's 1533-position model. The record is from RNAcentral.
GACGAACGCUGGCGGCGUGCUUAACACAUGCAAGUCGAACGGUAAGGCCCUUCGGGGUACACGAGUGGCGAACGGGUGAGUAACACGUCGGUGAUCUGCCCUGCACUUCGGGAUAAGCCUGGGAAACUGGGUCUAAUACCGGAUAGGACCCUGGGAUGCAUGUCCUGGGGUGGAAAGCUUUUGCGGUUGGGGAUGGGCCCGCGGCCUAUCAGCUUGUUGGGGGGGUGAGGGCCUACCAAGGCGACGACGGGUAGCCGGCCUGGGAGGGUGACCGGCCACACUGGGACUGAGAUACGGCCCAGACUCCUACGGGAGGCAGCAGUGGGGAAUAUUGCACAAUGGGCGCAAGCCUGAUGCAGCGACGCCGCGUGAGGGAUGACGGCCUUCGGGUUGUAAACCUCUUUCAGCUAUGACGAAGCGCAAGUGACGGUAGUAGCAGAAGAAGGACCGGCCAACUACGUGCCAGCAGCCGCCGUAA